RNAcentral lists this ribosomal RNA (474 nucleotides) under uncultured organism. RNAcentral's name for it is "bacterial SSU rRNA". It matches the Rfam family "Bacterial small subunit ribosomal RNA", at positions 395 to 869 of the family's 1533-position model. The record is from RNAcentral.
AGUAGCGUGCAGGAUGACGGCCCUAUGGGUUGUAAACUGCUUUUAUAAGGGAAUAAAGUGAGUCUCGUGAGACUUUUUGCAUGUACCUUAUGAAUAAGGACCGGCUAAUUCCGUGCCAGCAGCCGCGGUAAUACGGAAGGUCCGGGCGUUAUCCGGAUUUAUUGGGUUUAAAGGGAGCGUAGGCCGGAGAUUAAGCGUGUUGUGAAAUGUAGAUGCUCAACAUCUGCACUGCAGCGCGAACUGGUUUCCUUGAGUACGCACAAAGUGGGCGGAAUUCGUGGUGUAGCGGUGAAAUGCUUAGAUAUCACGAAGAACUCCGAUUGCGAAGGCAGCUCACUGGAGCGCAACUGACGCUGAAGCUCGAAAGUGCGGGUAUCGAACAGGAUUAGAUACCCUGGUAGUCCGCACGGUAAACGAUGGAUGCCCGCUGUUGGUCUGAGUAGGUCAGCGGCCAAGCGAAAGCAUUAAGCAUCC